CCGGCACGGGUGAGUAACACGUAUCCACCUGCCGUCUACUCUUGGACAGCCUUCUGAAAGGAAGAUUAAUACAAGAUGGCAUCAUGAGUCCGCAUGUUCACAUGAUUAAAGGUAUUCCGGUAGACGAUGGGGAUGCGUUCCAUUAGAUAGUAGGCGGGGUAACGGCCCACCUAGUCUUCGAUGGAUAGGGGUUCUGAGAGGAAGGCCCCCACAUUGGAACUGAGACACGGUCCAA
Molecule: ribosomal RNA, 235 nt
Filed under: uncultured bacterium
Lineage: Bacteria
Description: partial 16S ribosomal RNA
Rfam family: Bacterial small subunit ribosomal RNA
Source: RNAcentral